AUUGAACGCUGGCGGAAUGCUUUACACAUGCAAGUCGAGCGGCAGCGCGGCCUUCGGGCUGGCGGCGAGCGGCGAACGGGUGAGUAAUGCAUCGGAACAUGCCCAGUCGUGGGGGAUAACACUUCGAAAGAAGUGCUAAUACCGCAUACGUCCUGAGGGGGAAAGCGGGGGAUCGCAAGACCUCGCGCGAUUGGAGUGGCCGAUGUCAGAUUAGCUAGUUGGUGGGGUAAAGGCCUACCAAGGCGACGAUCUGUAGCUGGGCUGAGAGGAUGAUCAGCCACACUGGAACUGAGACACGGCCCAGACUCCUACGGGAGGCAGCAGUGGGGAAUUUUGGGCAAUGGGGGCAAGCCUGAUCCAGCCAUGCCGCGUGAGUGAAGAAGGCCUUCGGGUUGUAAAGCUCUUUCGGCAGGAACGAAACGGUGGGCUCUAACAUAGUCCGCUAAUGACGGUACCUGAAGAAGAAGCACCGGCUAACUACGUG
RNAcentral lists this ribosomal RNA (484 nucleotides) under uncultured bacterium. Its description in RNAcentral is "partial 16S ribosomal RNA". It matches the Rfam family "Bacterial small subunit ribosomal RNA", at positions 29 to 507 of the family's 1533-position model. The record is from RNAcentral.